Molecule: ribosomal RNA, 492 nt
Filed under: uncultured bacterium
Lineage: Bacteria
Description: partial 16S ribosomal RNA
Rfam family: Bacterial small subunit ribosomal RNA
Source: RNAcentral
AGUGAACGCUGGCGGUAGGCCUAACGCAUGCAAGUCGAACGGCAGCACAGUAAGAGCUUGCUCUUACGGGUGGCGAGUGGCGGACGGGUGAGGAAUACAUCGGAAUCUACUUUUUCGUGGGGGAUAACGUAGGGAAACUUACGCUAAUACCGCAUACGACCUACGGGUGAAAGCAGGGGAUCUUCGGACCUUGCGCGAUUGAAUGAGCCGAUGUCGGAUUAGCUAGUUGGCGGGGUAAAGGCCCACCAAGGCGACGAUCCGUAGCUGGUCUGAGAGGAUGAUCAGCCACACUGGAACUGAGACACGGUCCAGACUCCUACGGGAGGCAGCAGUGGGGAAUAUUGGACAAUGGGCGCAAGCCUGAUCCAGCCAUACCGCGUGGGUGAAGAAGGCCUUCGGGUUGUAAAGCCCUUUUGUGGGGAAAGAAAAGCAGCAGGUUAAUACCCCGCUGUUCUGACGGUACCCAAAGAAUAAGCACCGGCUAACUUCGUG